CGCUGGCGGCACGCCUAACACAUGCAAGUCGAACGCAGUAGCAAUACUGAGUGGCAAACGGGUGAGUAUAAUGUGGGAAUCUGCCUUUUGGUUUGGAAUAACACGGGGAAACUUGUGCUAAUACCGAAUAAGCCCUUACGGGGAAAGUUUUAAUGCCGAAAGAUGAGCCCGCACUUGAUUAGCUAGUUGGUAAGGUAAAAGCUUACCAAGGCAAUGAUCAAUAGCUGUUCUUAGAGGAAGACCAGCCACAUUGGGACUGAGACACGGCCCAGACUCCUACGGGAGGCAGCAGUGGGGAAUCUUGCACAAUGGGGGAAACCCUGAUGCAGCGAUGCCGCGUGAGUGAAGAAGGCCUUUGGGUUGUAAAACUCUUUCGUCGGGGAAGAAAAUGACUGUACCCGAAUAAGAAGGUCCGGCUAACUUCGUGCCAGCAGCCGCGGUAAUACGAAGGGACCUAGCGUAGUUCGGAAUUACUGGGCUUAAAGAGCUCGUAGGUGGUUAAAAAAGUUGAUGGUGAAAUCCCAAGGCUUAACCUUGGAACUGCCAUCAAAACUUUUUAGCUAGAGUGUGAUAGAGGUAAGUGGAAUUUCUAGUGUAGAGGUGAAAUUCGUAGAUAUUAGAAAGAACACCAAAUGCGAAGGCAACUUACUGGGUCACUACUGACACUGAGGAGCGAAAGCAUGGGUAGCGAAGAGGAUUAGAUACCCUCGUAGUCCAUGCCGUAAACGAUGUGUGCUAGACGUUGGAAAUAUAUUUUUCAGUGUCGCAGCGAAAGCAUUAAGCACACCGCCUGGGGAGUACGAC
This 804-nucleotide ribosomal RNA is filed under the name uncultured Pelagibacteraceae bacterium. RNAcentral describes it as "bacterial SSU rRNA". It matches the Rfam family "Bacterial small subunit ribosomal RNA", at positions 34 to 886 of the family's 1533-position model. The record is from RNAcentral. Lineage: Bacteria; Pseudomonadati; Pseudomonadota; Alphaproteobacteria; Candidatus Pelagibacterales; Candidatus Pelagibacteraceae.